AAAUAAAAAUUGAAGUGUGCGGUCAUAAAGUGGGCUAUGUCUACGCAGAGGGUUUUCCGGACACACAUAUCAAGUCCAACAAACUAUACCAUGAAAUGUGUUGAAACGGGUUGUCCUGGGAAGGUGCACGGGCACGUGCCGAAGUAUAACAUCCACUGGGUUGUCACUGAUGUCGUCCCACGUAAUUGUGUGAGGAAAAACCUUCUGGUGAAUCAUCCAAACCUGACUUCAACUCUCAUUGCGCAACUUGUCGGGUGGUAG
RNAcentral lists this ribosomal RNA (261 nucleotides) under Triticum aestivum (bread wheat). RNAcentral describes it as "partial small subunit ribosomal RNA". Lineage: Eukaryota; Viridiplantae; Streptophyta; Magnoliopsida; Poales; Poaceae. The record is from RNAcentral.